Non-coding RNA from Podarcis lilfordi (Lilford's wall lizard), 79 nucleotides. Lineage: Eukaryota; Metazoa; Chordata; Lepidosauria; Squamata; Lacertidae. The record is from the annotation of a GenBank genome assembly.
GCUGGAUAGCUCAGUUGGUUAGAGUGUGGUGCUGAUAAUGCCAAGGUUAGAAGUUCAAUCCCUGUAUGGGACAGCUGCA